GAGGGUGUCGCUCAAAUGGUAGAGCGCAUGCUUAGCAUGCAUGAGGCCCUGAGUUCAAUCCCCAGUACCACCG
RNAcentral lists this transfer RNA (73 nucleotides) under Camelus bactrianus (Bactrian camel). It matches the Rfam family "tRNA". From Rfam's summary of the family: Transfer RNA (tRNA) molecules are approximately 80 nucleotides in length. Their secondary structure includes four short double-helical elements and three loops (D, anti-codon, and T loops). Lineage: Eukaryota; Metazoa; Chordata; Mammalia; Artiodactyla; Camelidae. RNAcentral also lists the same sequence under 2 other names. The record is from Rfam by way of RNAcentral.